RNAcentral lists this ribosomal RNA (119 nucleotides) under Pteropus vampyrus (large flying fox). The record is from RNAcentral. Lineage: Eukaryota; Metazoa; Chordata; Mammalia; Chiroptera; Pteropodidae.
GUCUAUGGCCAUUCCACCCUGAAUCUGCCCAAUCUUGUCUGAUCUCAGAAGCUAAGCAGGGUCAGGCCUGUUUAGUAGUUGGAUGAGAGACCACCUAGGAAUGCCAGGUACUGUAGGUG